This 406-nucleotide long non-coding RNA is filed under the name Bos indicus x Bos taurus (hybrid cattle). Its description in RNAcentral is "lncRNA (ENSBIXG00000017554.1)". Lineage: Eukaryota; Metazoa; Chordata; Mammalia; Artiodactyla; Bovidae. The record is from RNAcentral.
GCUGCUGCGUCCAAGCUGGGUGCUCUCCGAGCGCAGGGAGGCAGGCUGCGAUCGGCGGGGCGCAGCUGGGGGAGCCCGGGCCGGCGAACCUGCGCGCGAUCUCCGCGGGUCCCCGGCGCCGAGGCCAGGACGGCCGGCGCUUUGGCCUUGGAUGGAAAUGGGGACUGGUCCUCCGGGCCCUCUACCGUGGAUUACUUGGUGCAUCUCUGCCGGGCUUGAUGAACCACGACCUCGUCUCCAUCCGUGGAUUGGUGCGUGCUACCCAAUAGUCGGGUCGUUUCCCUGGAGCCUAAGGAUCUCCAGUGAUUUCUUUGAGCCUAAUGAUGGGGAAGCUGAGAAUGGAGCUAUUAUUUUUAAACACCUUUUGAAAUACUACUCUUCCUGGUUUAUGAAGUGAAAUCAGAGG